RNAcentral lists this long non-coding RNA (3244 nucleotides) under Setaria italica (foxtail millet). RNAcentral describes it as "long non-coding RNA (SITA_LNC004216)". The record is from RNAcentral. Lineage: Eukaryota; Viridiplantae; Streptophyta; Magnoliopsida; Poales; Poaceae.
UCUUAUAUCUAUGCCUAACAUCUGCAUGCGAGGCACCCCUAACCCUUUUUUAUCAUUGUAAUUAACUUUCAAAAGUUGCAUAUAGACUAAUAUGAUGUGCUGUCUAAACUAGGUAGACACCUCUGUCGGACCCAAUAUUUGAAGCCAGAUGUGUGGAGAGGUUAAUCACUCCCCUCACCGGCAGUGGAUGCAGCCACACUGCUGCCUGCAAAACAUCUUUAUUGCUUCAACGCAAGGAAGGCUCUAGAAGCAUCUAGUUUGUCUAUGAUUGCUUCUCAUAUAUUUUUAUGCAAGGAAGGCUCUAGAAGCAUUUGGUUUGUCCAUGCAGAUGAUCUUAAUUACCUGGUUAUCAAUUAGCUUAAGCAAAGCUAAUUUCAUGCUUGCCACCCUCACACAACAUCGGGAUGCGUUUUGCACGAGAAGCAACGGCAAGGUUUGCCUUCUACAGCAGUCUAGUUUCUUGUUACCAUUGUCUAAUAAUCAAUACCAUCUUAAGCAUCAUGCGAUAGUUGAAGCAGGAAACAUGCACAUGCGCUCACCUUCCGGUUGCAUUUCAUCACAUAAAAGUGCCACAAACUAGCAAUACAACGAUAGGUAGCUUUAUGUGAAUUCGCAUUAAUAAUCCAUGCCACACAUACAAUAGCGAUAGUAGAUAGAAAGUUUAUCAUAUAGUAGUAGCUUGAGUAACUUCCAUGUUGUUUGGUUAAUGCUGCCUAUGAUAGUUGAUGAUCUUCUUGUUUGGUCUAGACGUACCUUCAGUUCUGUAAACAUAUUAAAUUAUCAGAGCAUGCACAACAAAUCCAAGUUAUGAUAAACAACUGACACAUCCUGAUUCUGGAUUAGGAACUCACAAAUUUGAAAAUUGCUUUAUCUUAUUUGAUCAAGGAUAGGUUGUUGUUGUUGUAACGAUGUUCUUAUAUCUAUGCCUAACAUCUGCAUGCGAGGCACCCCUAACCCUUUUUUAUUAUUGUAAUUAACUUUCAAAAGUUGCAUAUAGACUUAUAUGAUGUGCUGUCUAAACUAGGUAGGCACCUCUGUCGGACCCAAUAUUUGAAGCCAGAUGUGUGGAGAGGUUAAUCACUCCCCUCACCGGCAGUGGAUGCAGCCACACUGCUGCCUGCAAAACAUCUUUAUUGCUUCAACGCAAGGAAGGCUCUAGAAGCAUUUGGUUUGUCCAUGCAGAUGAUCUUAGUUACCUGGUUAUCAAUUAGCUUAAGCAAAGCUAAUCUCAGGCUUGCCACCCUCACACAACAUCGGGAUGCGUUUUGCACGAGAAGCAACGGCAAGGUUUGCCUUCUACAGCAGUCUAGUUUCUUGUUACCAUUGUCUAAUAAUCAAUACCAUCUUAAGCAUCAUGCGAUAGUUGAAGCAGGAAACAUGCACAUGCGCUCACCUUCCGGUUGCAUUUCAUCACAUAAAAGUGCCACAAACUAGCAAUACAACGAUAGGUAGCUUUAUGUGAAUUCGCAUUAAUAAUCCAUGCCACACAUACAAUAGCGAUAGUAGAUAGAAAGUUUAUCAUAUAGUAGUAGCUUGAGUAACUUCCAUGUUGUUUGGUUAAUGCUGCCUAUGAUUGUUGAUGAUCUUCUUGUUUGGUCUAGACGUACCUUCAGUUCUGUAAACAUAUUAAAUUAUCAGAGCAUGCACAGCAAAUCCAAGUUGAAAAUUAAUUACAAUGAUAAACAACUGACACAUCCUGAUUCUGGAUUAGGAACUCGCAAAUUUGAAAAUUGCUUUAUCUUAUUUGAUCAAGGAUAGGUUGUUGUUGUUGUAACGAUGUUCUUAUAUCUAUGCCUAACAUCUGCAUGCGAGGCACCCCUAACCCUUUUUUAUUAUUGUAAUUAACUUUCAAAAGUUGCAUAUAGACUAAUAUGAUGUGCUGUCUAAACUAGGUAGGCACCUCUGUCGGACCCAAUAUUUGAAGCCAGAUGUGUGGAGAGGUUAAUCACUCCCCUCACCGGCAGUGGAUGCAGCCACACUGCUGCCUGCAAAACAUCUUUAUUGCUUCAACGCAAGGAAGGCUCUAGAAGCAUUUGGUUUGUCCAUGCAGAUGAUCUUAGUUACCUGGUUAUCAAUUAGCUUAAGCAAAGCUAAUCUCAGGCUUGCCACCCUCACACAACAUCGGGAUGCGUUUUGCACGAGAAGCAACGGCAAGGUUUGCCUUCUACAGCAGUCUAGUUUCUUGUUACCAUUGUCUAAUAAUCAAUACCAUCUUAAGCAUCAUGCGAUAGUUGAAGCAGGAAACAUGCACAUGCGCUCACCUUCCGGUUGCAUUUCAUCACAUAAAAGUGCCACAAACUAGCAAUACAACGAUAGGUAGCUUUAUGUGAAUUCGCAUUAAUAAUCCAUGCCACACAUACAAUAGCGAUAGUAGAUAGAAAGUUUAUCAUAUAGUAGUAGCUUGAGUAACUUCCAUGUUGUUUGGUUAAUGCUGCCUAUGAUUGUUGAUGAUCUUCUUGUUUGGUCUAGACGUACCUUCAGUUCUGUAAACAUAUUAAAUUAUCAGAGCAUGCACAGCAAAUCCAAGUUGAAAAUUAAUUACAAUGAUAAACAACUGACACAUCCUGAUUCUGGAUUAGGAACUCGCAAAUUUGAAAAUUGCUUUAUCUUAUUUGAUCAAGGAUAGGUUGUUGUUGUUGUAACGAUGUUCUUAUAUCUAUGCCUAACAUCUGCAUGCGAGGCACCCCUAACCCUUUUUUAUCAUUGUAAUUAACUUUCAAAAGUUGCAUAUAGACUAAUAUGAUGUGCUGUCUAAACUAGGUAGGCACCUCUGUCGGACCCAAUAUUUGAAGCCAGAUGUGUGGAGAGGUUAAUCACUCCCCUCACCGGCAGUGGAUGCAGCCACACUGCUGCCUGCAAAACAUCUUUAUUGCUUCAACACAAGGAAGGCUCUAGAAGCAUCUAGUUUGUCUAUGAUUGCUUCUCAUAUAUUUUUAUGCAAGGAAGGCUCUAGAAGCAUUUGGUUUGUCCAUGCAGAUGAUCUUAAUUACCUGGUUAUCAAUUAGCUUAAGCAAAGCUAAUUUCAUGCUUGCCACCCUCACACAACAUCGGGAUGCGUUUUGCACGAGAAGCAACGGCAAGGUUUGCCUUCUACAGCAGUCUAGUUUCUUGUUACCAUUGUCUAAUAAUCAAUACCAUCUUAAGCAUCAUGCGAUAGUUGAAGCAGGAAACAUGCACAUGCGCUCACCUUCCGGUUGCAUUUCAUCACAUAAAAGUGCCACAAACUAGCAAUACAACGAUAGGU